This is a long non-coding RNA of Capsicum annuum, 266 nucleotides long. RefSeq lists it as uncharacterized. The transcript has 2 exons. NCBI's taxonomy places the organism in Eukaryota, Viridiplantae, Streptophyta, Magnoliopsida, Solanales, Solanaceae. The record is from RefSeq and is a predicted model, not a curated record.
CAAGUGAGGCCAUUGCUUUAUGCUUUUUCUUUAUAGACUUUAUUGGAAAUACUAUGCAUCAUUUUCUCCCUAACAUUCAAUGAUUUGUUCUCUCUCUUCUAAUUUUCAGUUUUUCAUUUUUGAAGCUAAUUGUUUUCUUGAGAGUACUCAAAAACACAGAGUAACAAAGCAACUAUAUCAGAAUUUUCAUCAAGUGAUAAGAUCCUGAGAUCUUGAAAGGAAGAAAACUUGAAAGGCACUUACAGUCAUGGAGAAUGGAGGACAAA